RNAcentral lists this ribosomal RNA (242 nucleotides) under uncultured bacterium. RNAcentral's name for it is "partial 16S ribosomal RNA". It matches the Rfam family "Bacterial small subunit ribosomal RNA", at positions 1350 to 1500 of the family's 1533-position model. The record is from RNAcentral.
CAGAAUGCCGCGGUGAAUACUUCCCGGGUCUUGUACACACCGCCCGUCACACCAUGGGAGUCGGAAAUGCCCGAAGUCUGUGACCCAACCCCUGGUGAGCAUGACCGUAUAAAGAGAUAACAGAGCUUACGAAGGAAGGUCUGUUAUACUCGCGAAAAAGAUGUACGGAGGUCGUGCUUAGCAGGGGGAGGGAGCAGCCGAAGGCAGGUCGGAUGACUGGGGUGAAGUCGUAACAAGGUACC